Rhagoletis zephyria (snowberry fruit fly) is the source of this 212-nucleotide long non-coding RNA. RefSeq lists it as uncharacterized. NCBI's taxonomy places the organism in Eukaryota, Metazoa, Arthropoda, Insecta, Diptera, Tephritidae. The record is from RefSeq and is a predicted model, not a curated record.
CAGAAAGUUUACGAGACUACUUCAGCAGGUUCGGUGAUAUAUCAGAGGCUAUGGUUAUGAAAGAUCCAACGACGCGGAGAUCGAGAGGUUUCGGCUUCAUAACAUUCAGUGAUCCAGCCAGCGUUGACAAGGUUCUAACACAAGGUACACACGAACUAGACGGUAAAAAGAUCGACCCAAAGGUAGCAUUUCCCCGCAGAGCGCAUCCAAAG